Molecule: ribosomal RNA, 406 nt
Filed under: uncultured bacterium
Lineage: Bacteria
Description: bacterial SSU rRNA
Rfam family: Bacterial small subunit ribosomal RNA
Source: RNAcentral
AUUGAACGCUGGCGGCAUGCCUUACACAUGCAAGUCGAACGGCAGCACGGGAGCAAUCCUGGUGGCGAGUGGCGAACGGGUGAGUAAUACAUCGGAACGUGCCCAGUAGUGGGGGAUAACCCGGCGAAAGCCGGACUAAUACCGCAUACGACCUACGGGUGAAAGCGGGGGAUCGCAAGACCUCGCGUUAUUGGAGCGGCCGAUGGCAGAUUAGCUAGUUGGUGGGGUAAAAGCCUACCAAGGCGACGAUCUGUAGCUGGUCUGAGAGGACGACCAGCCACACUGGGACUGAGACACGGCCCAGACUCCUACGGGAGGCAGCAGUGGGAAUUUUGCACAAUGGGGGAAACCCUGAUGCAGCGACGCCGCGUGGAGGAUGAAGGGUCUAGGCCUGUAAACUCCUUUU